CCUACGGGUGGCAGCAGUGAGGAAUAUUGGUCAAUGGGCUUACGCCUGAACCAGCCAAGUCGCGUGAGGGAAGACUGCCCUAUGGGUUGUAAACCUCUUUUGUCAGGGGGCAACGCCGGCUACGUGUAGCCGGACUGAGAGUACCUGAAGAAAAAGCAUCGGCUAACUCCGUGCCAGCAGCCGCGGUAAUACGGGGGAUGCGAGCGUUAUCCGGAUUUAUUGGGUUUAAGGGGUGCGUAGGCGGAAUGCCAAGUCAGCGGGAAAAUCGCGGGGCUCAACCUCGCUCUGCCGUUGAAACUGGCGGUCUUGAGUGGGCGAGAGGUAGGCGGAAUGCGUGGUGUAGCGGUGAAAUGCAUAGAGAUCACGCAGAACUCCGAUUGCGAAGGCAGCAUACCGGGGUCCAUCUGACGCUGAAGCACGAAAGCGUGGGUAUCGAACAGGAUUAGAUACCCCGGUAGUC
This 460-nucleotide ribosomal RNA is filed under the name uncultured bacterium. Its description in RNAcentral is "partial 16S ribosomal RNA". It matches the Rfam family "Bacterial small subunit ribosomal RNA", at positions 338 to 795 of the family's 1533-position model. The record is from RNAcentral.